RNAcentral lists this long non-coding RNA (387 nucleotides) under Bos taurus (domestic cattle). RNAcentral's name for it is "long non-coding RNA NONBTAT026366". The record is from RNAcentral. Lineage: Eukaryota; Metazoa; Chordata; Mammalia; Artiodactyla; Bovidae.
UUUAUGCUUUGCUGAUAUAUUUAUUGAUAUAUUCCCCCUUUACAGUUGAUGGUGACAAAAAGCAGAUGGAGCCCUACCCUACCCACCCCCCCCACAAUAAAAUACAGACACAGAUUUCAUUCAGCAUAUACAAGCAUUGGGGCGUGUCCAAAUUCACCUCACUGGGUUACUAGAGCCAGGAGAGAUUAGAUCUUUGGGGCAGUCUGAGCACCUGGGGCCCAGGAAUUGAGCAGGCCAAUGCUGAAAAGAGGCUGCCACUCUGGGCCCUGCCACUGGGGUGUCAGCAGAGGCUAUAGAAUCAAAUCAUGGUGGAAAGAGCUGCCUAGCCCUGUCACGUGACAGUGGGCUCCUGGGUAGUUUCCAGUGAGAUCCACAGUCCCAUAGAAA